GUGCGAGGCGGGGGCUCUAACCACCGAGCUACAGGAUUUCCACAGGGUCUUGGCCCCUGUUUACUGAGGAAGGUCUCCGCUUAUGCUCAAAGGGUUCCGGUUUCCAGGGCCUUUCAAAGCUUCCCCGUUGUAAACCUUACGCACAAUCUGCAGCCGCCGUGAGACCGGGAUUGUUACCCUUUGGAAAGCGCUGAUUACUCCAGCCCUUGCCUUGCCUAACCUUUCGGCUCGGCCUGGGCGAAACAGGAAGGAUGGACGGGGCUCGCACUGAAGCGAAUCGCACAGGGACGAUAUCCUACCGAUCGCAGCACAACGUCUUGCACUGGACACAGCUACAGGAAACAUAUAACAAGCGGACUCGGACAGAGGGACCCACACGAUCAGCAAAGCUCCGCACAACAGCACGUUCUGAAAAUACAAGGAUAUUGUCACGGGUUCCCGAACGGGCGAACAGAGCGUCAGGUUAGUGUCCCAUCCAAAGGACAGCAUUAACAUCAAUCACAUCAAUGGUA
Long non-coding RNA from Callorhinchus milii (elephant shark), 512 nucleotides. RefSeq lists it as uncharacterized. The transcript is spliced from 4 exons. Lineage: Eukaryota; Metazoa; Chordata; Chondrichthyes; Chimaeriformes; Callorhinchidae. The record is from RefSeq and is a predicted model, not a curated record.